GGCCAGACUCCUACGGGAGGCAGCAGUGGGGGAUAUUGCACAAUGGGGGGAACCCUGAUGCAGCGACGCCGCGUGGGUGAAGGAGUAUUUCGGUAUGUAAAGCCCUAUCGGCAGGGAAGAAGCAAGACGGUACCUGACUAAGAAGCCCCGGCUAACUACGUGCCAGCAGCCGCGGUAAUACGUAGGGGGCGAGCGUUAUCCGGAUUCACUGGGUGUAAAGGGAGCGUAGACGGCCGUGCAAGCCAGGAGUGAAAGCCCGGGGCCCAACCCCGGGACUGCUCUUGGAACUGCGUGGCUAGAGUGCAGGAGGGGCAGGCGGAAUUCCUGGUGUAGCGGUGAAAUGCGUAGAUAUCAGGAGGAACACCGGUGGCGAAGGCGGCCUGCUGGACUGCAACUGACGUUGAGGCCCGAAAGCGUGGGGAGCAACCAGGAUUAGAUACCCCGGUAUU
Molecule: ribosomal RNA, 449 nt
Filed under: uncultured bacterium
Lineage: Bacteria
Description: partial 16S ribosomal RNA
Rfam family: Bacterial small subunit ribosomal RNA
Source: RNAcentral